AUGGCUACAGGAACUUAAUGCGCAUCAAAACGGCAAACAACUUUCAACAUUAGAAGGGAUUCCCAAGUUUCAAAAUAUGUUUUUAGGGAGCACAGUCUUAGAAGAGUCCGAUUGACAUAUCUUCCUGGUUAAAAUUCAAAACACACGAGGAACGAAUCAACAAAACUCGAGGUUUGAGAAGUAAUUUUGGAAUUUCUGUUCUGAAUGAACAUGCCAUUAUAUUAUAUUAUGAAAUCGUUUCUUGGAAACUGUAAAUCAUAUGCAAUUACAUUCAUUGCUGUAAGGAAGGGAGCCUUCUCAGAAGUUGAAAAUUACAUGGCGCACAUGGAUCGACAUGAACCUAUCGAACACCGUAAUGCAGAAGCUUCUGG
Long non-coding RNA from Limulus polyphemus (Atlantic horseshoe crab), 371 nucleotides. RefSeq lists it as uncharacterized. The transcript has 3 exons. The record is from RefSeq and is a predicted model, not a curated record. NCBI's taxonomy places the organism in Eukaryota, Metazoa, Arthropoda, Merostomata, Xiphosura, Limulidae.